Molecule: long non-coding RNA, 971 nt
Organism: Glycine soja
Lineage: Eukaryota; Viridiplantae; Streptophyta; Magnoliopsida; Fabales; Fabaceae
Exons: 3
Source: RefSeq, a predicted model, not a curated record
UUCCGCUAUGGCUAAAGAAUUUGUGAAGGGCUCUGUUCAUCAAAACGGCAUUGCCCCAAAGGUAUUUUCUUUCUUUUCUUUUUCUGCGACUCAUAUGAAGUCAUCAACAGUGUUGUGAAGACUUCGCAAGUUAGUAUUUUUCUGCAUAAUAUAUUUUUUUUAUCUGAAGAGAUGAAAAUUUGUCUUGGAUUAAUUUUCAUUUUAUAUGAUAUACGUGCUUCUUUUUCUUUUUCUUUCACUGUAGCUUGGUAUCUAAUUUUUAAAUAUUUUUUUUCAACCUUCCUUUUCUCUGUGAGCAUUUUCCGUUAUUUUAUAUGAUGUACAUGCUUCUUUUUCUUUUUCUUUCAUUGCAGCUUGGUAUCUAAUUUUUCAAACUUUUUUUUCGACCUUCCUUUUGUCUGCGAGCAUUUUCCGCUAUGGCCGAAGAAUUUGUGAAGGGCUCUGUUCAUCAAAAUGGUGUCGCUGUCAUAACCCUCGAUCGCCCCAAAGUUAAUUUAGAAUACCUUGGUAGAGUUGUGUUCAACACAAAUGGCGGGAACUGAUUCACACACAACUAUGAUUGAUGGUCUUGGUGUUGCUGGAUGGGGAGUUGGUGGAAUAAAAGCAGAAGCUGCAAUGCUUGGCCAGGAGGAGGAGGAGGACCUUCAGUGGGAUGACAUUGAGGAUCUUAGCAGUAUUGAUGAAAAUAAAACAAGGCAGUAGAGUGGUGGUGGCGCAAGAAAAGUUGAUUUGCAGAAGCGGCUUAGCGCUACGGAACAAGAGGAAGACUUGAGCUGGGACAUUGAAGAUGAUGAUGAUGAGACUCUUAAGGCUUGAAAUGUUUGAUGCAUUAUGUUCUGAUUUCUCAAUGGGAGUGUAUGGUGUGAGUGUCAUUUUCACGCAAAGAAAUUUGUCCGUGUUUUUAUAUUUUCAGGAAUUGGGAUAGAAGUAUUGUUGUUUGUUCUAUUCCUAAAAUGCAUGAAAAGUAUUUG